This 475-nucleotide unclassified non-coding RNA is filed under the name uncultured Glomus. RNAcentral's name for it is "SSU rRNA". It matches the Rfam family "Eukaryotic small subunit ribosomal RNA", at positions 569 to 1048 of the family's 1831-position model. The record is from RNAcentral. Lineage: Eukaryota; Fungi; Glomeromycota; Glomeromycetes; Glomerales; Glomeraceae.
AGCAGCCGCGGUAAUUCCAGCUCCAAUAGCGUAUAUUAAAGUUGUUGCAGUUAAAAAGCUCGUAGUUGAAUUUCGGGAUCAAUUAGUCGGUCGUGCCUCUGGUACGUACUGGUUUUAUUGGUUCCUCCCUUCUGACGAAACAUGAUGUCAUUAAUUUGGUGUCGUGGAGAAUCAGGACUGUUACCUUGAAAAAAUUAGAGUGUUUAUAGCAGGCUAACGCUUGAAUACAUUAGCAUGGAAUAAUGAAAUAGGACGUUCGACCCUAUUUUGUUGGUUUCUAGGAUCGACGUAAUGAUUAAUAGGGAUAGUUGGGGGCAUUAGUAUUCAAUUGUCAGAGGUGAAAUUCUUGGAUUUAUUGAAGACUAACUACUGCGAAAGCAUUUGCCAAGGAUGUUUUCAUUAAUCAAGAACGAAAGUUAGGGGAUCGAAGACGAUCAGAUACCGUCGUAGUCUUAACCAUAAACUAUGCCGACUA